CUUGUAGGCGGUCUGUCGCGUCUGCUGUGAAAAUCCGGGGUUCAACCCCGGACUUGCAGUGGGUACGGGCAGACUAGAGUGUGGUAGGGGAGACUGGAAUUCCUGGUGUAGCGGUGAAAUGCGCAGAUAUCAGGAGGAACACCGAUGGCGAAGGCAGGUCUCUGGGCCACUACUGACGCUGAGAAGCGAAAGCAUGGGGAGCGAACA
RNAcentral lists this ribosomal RNA (207 nucleotides) under uncultured bacterium. Its description in RNAcentral is "partial 16S ribosomal RNA". It matches the Rfam family "Bacterial small subunit ribosomal RNA", at positions 568 to 774 of the family's 1533-position model. The record is from RNAcentral.